UGAAAUUAAACAAAAGUAAUAUAAUGGAUCACUUGCUUAACAAAAUAACCGAUUAUUCAAUUACAGAUUAUAAAAAUUAAUCAAUUUUUAAUUUUCAUUUGUUAUCAAGUUACCUAGAAAAAGGAGUGACAAGGUUAGAAAAAUGUGUACAAUCAAAUGGACUUCAGUUUAAUUUGACAACAAAUACAGUAUAUAAGCUUUUGGAUGAAAAUCGAUGUCACCAUCUAACGUUAAGAUGUGCACUAUCAAACGUGACUUCCCUGGUAAAGUCCAAACCAGUUGACCGCCAUAAGGUGUCGGACAUUUUAUUGGCGGUGACAAACAUAUACCACAAAAAAAGAGAAGAAAUUGGACCUCGUGUUCUUUGACAGAAUCUUCUACGUCGACGCUAUUGGUUCUAUGCUUCCUUUUAUUUAAUCCUAUGAAUUGAUCAAUCAUAAGUGAAUCGUAAGUUGAACUAUAGAAAAUUUUCUCCUUGAAAGCAAGUUUU
Molecule: long non-coding RNA, 490 nt
Organism: Colletes gigas
Lineage: Eukaryota; Metazoa; Arthropoda; Insecta; Hymenoptera; Colletidae
Exons: 4
Source: RefSeq, a predicted model, not a curated record